GACGUAGGGGGCCAGCGUUGCUCGGAAUUACUGGGCGUAAAGGGUUCGUAGGCGGUGUGGCAAGUCGGAAGUGAAAUCUCCAGGCUUAACUUGGAGGCUGCUCCCGAAACUGCCAUGCUAGAGUGCGGGAGAGGCGAGUGGAAUUGCAGGUGUAGCGGUGAAAUGCGUAGAUAUCUGCAGGAACACCCGUGGCGAAGGCGGCUCGCUGGACCGCAACUGACGCUGAGGAACGAAAGCUAGGGGAGCAAACAGG
Molecule: ribosomal RNA, 253 nt
Filed under: uncultured bacterium
Lineage: Bacteria
Description: partial 16S ribosomal RNA
Rfam family: Bacterial small subunit ribosomal RNA
Source: RNAcentral